Non-coding RNA from Picea glauca (white spruce), 115 nucleotides. Lineage: Eukaryota; Viridiplantae; Streptophyta; Pinopsida; Pinales; Pinaceae. The record is from Rfam.
GAGAGCACAGUACGAUGAAAGUUGUGAGUUGUGUUUGGGGGGGGAUUUAUUGUCUAUCAUUGGCCUCUAUGGUAGAAUCAGUCGGGGAGGCCUGAGAGAUGGUGGUUUACCCUGU